UUUUAACAUCAAAUUCCUUAUGGGCCUUCUACAACAAGCCAUUAGUCAUAAAUCAGAAGUCAGAAGCUAAAAAUUGA
Long non-coding RNA from Mycetomoellerius zeteki, 77 nucleotides. RefSeq lists it as uncharacterized. The transcript has 3 exons. Lineage: Eukaryota; Metazoa; Arthropoda; Insecta; Hymenoptera; Formicidae. The record is from RefSeq and is a predicted model, not a curated record.